Molecule: ribosomal RNA, 253 nt
Filed under: uncultured bacterium
Lineage: Bacteria
Description: partial 16S ribosomal RNA
Rfam family: Bacterial small subunit ribosomal RNA
Source: RNAcentral
UACAGAGGUCUCAAGCGUUGUUCGGAUUCAUUGGGCGUAAAGGGCGCGUAGGCGGCGGGGUAAGUCGGGUGUGAAAUCUCAGAGCUCAACUCUGAAAUGGCACUUGAUACUGCUCUGCUAGAGGACUGGAGAGGAGAUUGGAAUUCACGGUGUAGCAGUGAAAUGCAUAGAUAUCGUGAGGAAGACCGGUGGCGAAGGCGGAUCUCUGGACAGUUCCUGACGCUGAGGCGCGAAGGCCAGGGGAGCAAACGGG